GACGAACGCUGGCGGCGUGCUUAACACAUGCAAGUCGAACGGAAAGGCCCUGCUUUUGUGGGUUGCUCGAGUGGCGAACGGGUGAGUAACACGUGAGUAACCUGCCCUUGACUUUGGUAUAACUUCAGGAAACUGGGGCUAAUACCGGAUAGGAGCUCCUGCUGCAUGGUGGUGGUUGGAAAGUUUCGGCGGUUGGGGAUGGACUCGCGGCUUGUCAGCUUGUUGGUGGGGUAGUGGGUUACCAAGGCUUCGACGGGUAGCCGGCCUGAGCGGGUGACAGGCAACAUUGGGACUGAGAUACGGCCCAGACUCCUACGGGAGGCAGCAGUGGGGAAUAUUGCAAAAUGGGCGGAAGCCUGAUGCAGCAACGCCGCGUGCGGGAUGACGGCCUUCGGGUUGUAAACCGCUUUCGCCUGUGACGAAGCGUGAGUGACGGUAAUGGGUAAAGAAGCACCGGCUAACUACGUG
This 468-nucleotide ribosomal RNA is filed under the name uncultured bacterium. RNAcentral's name for it is "partial 16S ribosomal RNA". It matches the Rfam family "Bacterial small subunit ribosomal RNA", at positions 28 to 507 of the family's 1533-position model. The record is from RNAcentral.